This 69-nucleotide transfer RNA is filed under the name Lepidochelys olivacea (Pacific ridley). RNAcentral's name for it is "transfer RNA-Met". It matches the Rfam family "tRNA". Rfam says of the family: Transfer RNA (tRNA) molecules are approximately 80 nucleotides in length. Their secondary structure includes four short double-helical elements and three loops (D, anti-codon, and T loops). Further hydrogen bonds mediate the characteristic L-shaped molecular structure. tRNAs have two regions of fundamental functional importance: the anti-codon, which is responsible for specific mRNA codon recognition, and the 3' end, to which the tRNAs corresponding amino acid is attached (by aminoacyl-tRNA synthetases). tRNAs cope with the degeneracy of the genetic code in two manners: having more than one tRNA (with a specific anti-codon) for a particular amino acid; and 'wobble' base-pairing, i.e. permitting non-standard base-pairing at the 3rd anti-codon position. The record is from RNAcentral. Lineage: Eukaryota; Metazoa; Chordata; Testudines; Cheloniidae.
AGUAAAGUCAGCUAAUCAAGCUUUCGGGCCCAUACCCCGAAAAUGUCGGUUAAAAUCCCUCCUAUACUA